AUCCUCACCUCGGGGUGCGUGGCCUGCCGCGCUGAGAUGCCAUUGGCGAACCCGUAGAACCUGAACCGGCUAGAACCGGCGGAGGGAAAGGUAGCGGUUUCAUCC
Molecule: non-coding RNA, 105 nt
Filed under: Ruegeria sp.
Lineage: Bacteria; Pseudomonadati; Pseudomonadota; Alphaproteobacteria; Rhodobacterales; Roseobacteraceae
Description: TPP sequence
Rfam family: TPP riboswitch aptamer (THI element)
About the family: Vitamin B(1) in its active form thiamin pyrophosphate (TPP) is an essential coenzyme that is synthesised by coupling of pyrimidine and thiazole moieties in bacteria. The previously detected thiamin-regulatory element, thi box was extended, resulting in a new, highly conserved RNA secondary structure, the THI element, which is widely distributed in eubacteria and also occurs in some archaea.
Source: RNAcentral